AACAAACAGGUCAAGUUAAAAUUGGGACAGUAAAAAAGGAGGUUAAUAAAUUGGAGUUAUGGGAAAUAAUGCUUUUUAGGAAGGUAGAAUUUGGAUAAAAAGGGGUAAUUUGAGUUUUCCUUUAUUUUGACGCCUCGAAAUUUUGUUAAUGAGACCGGGAUUAGAUACCCCGUUAUUUAAAAUGUAAAUUUUAAUUGUGUUUGGAUUUACUUGAGUACUACGAGAAGUUGAGAAUAUAUCUUAUAUGGUUCUUAAAACUCAAAAAACUUGGCGGUGCCUUAUAUCCUUCCAGGGGAACCUGUCCUGUAAUCGAUAGUCCACGAUUUAACUUUCUUUCUUUUGAAUUAAAAUAAUCAGCUUGUAUACCGUCGUCGCCAGAUCACCUUUAAGAGUUAUGAAGUUGUCGGUGAGAGAUUAAAAAAGAAUUUAGUUAAUUUAUAGUUGGUUUAAUUUUUAAAGCUCUAGACGUCAGAUCAAGGUGCAGCUUAUAAGGAAGUAGAGAUGGGUUACAAUAAUAAGUUAUUAUUAUGAAUUUUUUGUUGUAAUUAGCAAAAUUGAAAGAGGACUUGGAAGUAAUUAGUUUAAAGAUAAGAGAGUUUAAAUGAAAAUAGGCUCUGAGGUGCGC
RNAcentral lists this ribosomal RNA (625 nucleotides) under Solariella sp. 4 LS-2013. Its description in RNAcentral is "partial 12S ribosomal RNA". The record is from RNAcentral. Lineage: Eukaryota; Metazoa; Mollusca; Gastropoda; Trochida; Solariellidae.